AAAAAACUGCCUCAAAACUCAGCUGUUUGCCUGUGUCACUUAAGCCCAUGCAGGUGAUUUAUGCAGCUGGUGAGAGGGAGGUUAUUUAGCUAUUGUUUUAAAAGCGGGUGUGAGGGGAGGAUGGAGGGGAAGCAGUGGGGGAGUGGAGAUGUAUUUUGUUUGUGCCUCAGAUCCUGCCACCUAGGAGAGGCUGGGCGACAGGGCUGAGCCGUCCUGGUCUGUGGGCUUCUCGAAGAGAGAGCUGGGAUCUCCUGUGUGCUUGGGGCUCUGCAGUGCAGCGCUGCUGAACCAAACCCAAGGUCCUGCUCCUGAAGGUUGUGUUGGCUGCAGGCUUAACCCCGCUAUGACAGCAGUUCUGGGACACCUGAUCUCCACAUCUCGUUACAAGACGAGGCUCUGGCAGACUGACACCUUUCACAACACAGAGCUCCGAGGGAGGCAGUCGGGCUGGGAAGCACGUCAUGCGGCGCGGUGGCACUGUCCCCAGUGUCACCCUGCUGGGGCUGUGCCCGUCCAGCUCCUCCAGACAGGUUGGGCUGCACACCGCAUCCCAAAAUGCCAGGGUGGUGGCGUGAAGUGCCCGUGCUGUCAGCAGCCCGGAGGCUCAGGAUGUCGAUGCGAGCGGCUGCCGAGCAGGCAGAGACGUGCAGGAGGCAGCCGGCUUGAAGUGCAAUUUGCAUUUUAAUAAAGAAAGUUGUAUUUUUUCAGUAAUUUGCAUUUAAAUCAAGCGUGUUUCAUAACUGAGC
Molecule: long non-coding RNA, 746 nt
Organism: Anser brachyrhynchus (Pink-footed goose)
Lineage: Eukaryota; Metazoa; Chordata; Aves; Anseriformes; Anatidae
Source: Ensembl